This 546-nucleotide ribosomal RNA is filed under the name Aureobasidium thailandense. Its description in RNAcentral is "partial large subunit ribosomal RNA". It matches the Rfam family "Eukaryotic large subunit ribosomal RNA", at positions 108 to 668 of the family's 3401-position model. The record is from RNAcentral. Lineage: Eukaryota; Fungi; Ascomycota; Dothideomycetes; Dothideales; Saccotheciaceae.
CUCAAAUUUGAAAGCUGGCCUUCGGGUCCGCAUUGUAAUUUGUAGAGGAUGCUUUGGGGCAGCCGCCUGUCUAAGUUCCUUGGAACAGGACGUCAUAGAGGGUGAGAAUCCCGUAUGUGACAGGACAUGGCACCCUAUGUAAAGCUCCUUCGACGAGUCGAGUUGUUUGGGAAUGCAGCUCUAAAUGGGAGGUAAAUUUCUUCUAAAGCUAAAUACCGGCGAGAGACCGAUAGCGCACAAGUAGAGUGAUCGAAAGAUGAAAAGCACUUUGGAAAGAGAGUUAAAAAGCACGUGAAAUUGUUGAAAGGGAAGCGCUUGCAAUCAGACUUGUUUUGACUGUUCGGCCGGUCUUCUGACCGGUUUACUCAGUCUGGACAGGCCAGCAUCAGUUUUGGCGGCCGGAUAAAGGCCCAGGGAAUGUGGCUCUCACUUCGGUGGGAGUGUUAUAGCCCUGGGUGUAAUACGGCCAGCCGGGACUGAGGUCCGCGCUUCGGCUAGGAUGCUGGCGUAAUGGUUGUAAGCGACCCGUCUUGAAACAACGGACCA